Molecule: non-coding RNA, 145 nt
Organism: Gossypium arboreum
Lineage: Eukaryota; Viridiplantae; Streptophyta; Magnoliopsida; Malvales; Malvaceae
Source: Rfam
GGUUAAAUAUUUCAUUCAUUUCUAUUUUUAAAAAUUGAUAUAGUUGACGAAAUAACUAGACAGUUAUACGUGGCAUGCCACAUAUACCUCACGCUAACGUGCAGGAGCCCAUUUUUAACACUAGAAAUGGAUAAAGUUUUUAACA